RNAcentral lists this long non-coding RNA (1110 nucleotides) under Zonotrichia albicollis (white-throated sparrow). RNAcentral's name for it is "lncRNA (ENSZALG00000003044.1)". Lineage: Eukaryota; Metazoa; Chordata; Aves; Passeriformes; Passerellidae. The record is from RNAcentral.
AUGGAAAUCCCUCCUGGGAGUCACUGCUCGGGCACAGCAGCUGUUCCUGGGCCCCUGUCCGGCCUGGAGCCUGUCCCUGUGUCCCUGUCCAUCCAGAAUCCUGUCCCUGUGUCCCUGUCCAUCCAGAAUCCUGUCCCUGUGUCCCUGUCCAUCCUGUCCCUGUGUAUGCUGGAGCCCUGUCCCUGUGUCCCUGUCCCUCCAUGGGGCUGUAUUCAGACCCUAUCCCUGUGUCCCUGUCCAUCCAAGAUCCUGUCCCUGUGUCCCUGCCUGUCCAGGAUCCUGUCCCUGUCCAUCCAGGAUCCCUAUCCUUGUGUCCUUGUCCAUCCUGUCCGCGUGUCCCUGUCCCUCCAUGGGGCUGGAUCCAGACCCUGUUCCUGUCUCCCUGUCCAUCCUGUCCCUGUCCAUCCUGUCCCUGUCCAUCCAGAUCCCAUCCCUGUCUCCCUGUCCAUCCUGUCCCCAUCCCUGUGCCCCUGGCCAUCCUGUCCCUGUCCAUCCUGUCCCCAUCCCCGUGUCCCUGUCCCUCCAUGUCCCCUCCAGCUCUCCUGGAGCCCUUCCAGGCUCUGGGAUCAGCUCCAAGGUUCCUCUGGACCUUCCCUUGCCCAGCCUUGGGCACCUGCAGGCUCCAGGGGCAGCCCCAGCUGCUCUGGGAAUCCCAUGCCAGCCCCUUCCCACCAUCUCCANAUUUCAGCUGAGGGUCAGAACCAAUUCCCACUGAAGUUAGAUACGCCAGUGAUAGGUUGGUGAUUAUUAGAUGCUUAAAUCUGCUGUAGAAAUAACAAUUUGAGCUAAUUGCUCUAUUAUGAGCUCAUCUGUAGAAGGAAGUGGAGCAAGGGAAGCAUUACAGGAAUUACUGGGAGCAGCAGAGCAGUGCCCAGCACUGGACUCUGUUAAUCCAUCACAAAGCAGGGAACAGAGGGUCACAGAGACCUGAGGAAGACAUUCCUGACUUCAUCCCCGACCCAGUUGGAGCCCACUGACCCCAUUAGAGAGAAGAACCGCACACGUGUGAGGGACUAAUAACCUCAUUCUACACAGAGCGGGGAUGGGAGGGGCUGGGCUGAUGCAAAUGGAUUAUUUUGGGAAAUAAACAGGAGGCGAGAGCCUGGUGCA